Molecule: long non-coding RNA, 2067 nt
Organism: Marmota monax (woodchuck)
Lineage: Eukaryota; Metazoa; Chordata; Mammalia; Rodentia; Sciuridae
Exons: 3
Source: RefSeq, a predicted model, not a curated record
UAAGUAUGACAAUUUCCUUGCCAGCGUACCCCAUGUUGCAGUGACAUUGAAUGUACUUAACCUUGCUCAAGGACCAAGGCAGAUUAGGGUGUUCCCGGUUUUAAGAUAAUCUUGUUUAGGGCGUUCCCAGUUUAGGUUCCAGGUUUAAGGUUUAAGAUUAUUCCUGCUGGGAAUAGGGCGUAUCCUGCUGCCUGAGUUCCCCUUGAGUUCUCACGGGAUUCAGACAGUAUAUUUUGGAGAUAGAAGCCCAGUGGAGGUGAUUUUGGGAGAGAAGGUGGAUUUGGGCAGAGAACGUGGAUUUCCCCAGAACGUGAUUGUAGACGGCUGGUGUGAGUUCGGGAAUAAAGAGUUGCUGUUUGAAUCUACAAGCUGUGUGGUGGCUCGUGAUUGUGUGCCCAGCCAGACUGCGGCAUUUGGUGGCCCGUACGGGGAACUUCUGAAGCUUAGAGGGAGAACAGCAGCCCAUUUGGAUUCCAGAGAGAUUAACUAAAACAGUUUCUACAGAUCGAAAAGAAGAUGAUUUGACUCAAAUCCAUAACAGCUGAUAUCCAGAACUCCAGCUUGGCCAUUCUUACAUCUGCGACAGUGAUUAACCAGGAUGCUUUUUUCAAUAGCUAUUUUAUUAUUGCAUUUUUCCACAUCAUAAGGUUCUAUUUUUAUUUUUUGAGCUCAUACAAACCUAGGUUAAUGUUUUUCUGAUCAGUUUUAUUUUUUGACUGUGGAGUUUUUAAACAUUGCAAUGGAGAUUUCACCCAGGAUAAUGUCUCUUUAGCAUCAUUGCCAGAAUUCCUAUCUCCAUCCCAGUGCCAGUGAAGAACUCAACAAGUAAUGCUCAAUCAAAGAGUCAACUUACUUUGGGAGGAAACGGAUUUUGGGAGGAAAUGGACAUAUUGAUAGAUUCCUCUGCUUUGAACUGCUUGCAGAACUUGCCUGGACUAUGUAACUAUCGUUUGGUGCAGCGAAUUGUGGUAAUGCUGGCAUAUCUUUGCUGAUGGUGUCACUAGUGAUGCAAUUUUUAUUUCCUUGCCAGCGCACCCCAUGUUAAUUGUGGUAGUGCUGACAUAUCUUUGCUGAUGGUGUCACCAGUGAUGCAAUUUUUCCCAAGGAGCCGUCAAUUGGCUUGGUGUCGUGGCAUUUCUGUAUCCUCCUCCCUUCUGCUAGUGAUGGUCUAAAAUUUGGGGGCCAAUGGCUUAUGCUGGACCGGUAGUCAGUGACGGGUAUGAUCCAAUUGCAGUGGUAUCAACCUAAGACAGGAGGCUGACGCCUAAAGGUCAGUUUUCCGAUGACGGGUAAGAACCAUAUGUUGAAUUGGACAACCUACCAGGCACGGUCCAUAAGCCACAUUAACCUCACUCCCCCACUGGCACCAAGGCCAAAUUUGGGGGCCAACAGAGGUGAGGCAAAGAACCUCACCCCCCCACUGGUGCAUAGACCUAUCCACAAGUAUGGCUGUAUGCUGGACCGGUAGUCAGUGACGGGUAUGAUUCAAUUGCAGUGGUAUCAACCUAAGACAGGAGGCUGACGCCUAAAGGUCAGUUUUCCGAUGACGGGUAAGAACCAUAUGUUGAAUUGGACAACCUACCAGGCACGGUCCUUAAGCCGCAUUGCUUGUUGUUUAAUUAAUCAGAAGGGGGGAGAUGCUGGGAGCCAUUAGCCAAGUAAGUAUGACAAUUUCCUUGCCAGCGUACCCCAUGUUGCAGUGACAUUGAAUGUACUUAACCUUGCUCAAGGACCAAGGCAGAUUAGGGUGUUCCCGGUUUUAAGAUAAUCUUGUUUAGGGCGUUCCCAGUUUAGGUUCCAGGUUUAAGGUUUAAGAUUAUUCCUGCUGGGAAUAGGGCGUAUCCUGCUGCCUGAGUUCCCCUUGAGUUCUCACGGGAUUCAGACAGUAUAUUUUGGAGAUAGAAGCCCAGUGGAGGUGAUUUUGGGAGAGAAGGUGGAUUUGGGCAGAGAACGUGGAUUUCCCCAGAACGUGAUUGUAGACGGCUGGUGUGAGUUCGGGAAUAAAGAGUUGCUGUUUGAAUCUACAAGCUGUGUGGUGGCUCGUGAUUGUGUGCCCAGCCAGACUGC